Long non-coding RNA from Rhineura floridana, 1467 nucleotides. RefSeq lists it as uncharacterized. The record is from RefSeq and is a predicted model, not a curated record. The transcript has 3 exons. Lineage: Eukaryota; Metazoa; Chordata; Lepidosauria; Squamata; Rhineuridae.
UGCGCUUGCCUUUUUGCCUCGCGGCACUUACUGCUGGUUCGCGCUUGUAGGGGCUCUUUCAGCGUUCCGUUGAAAGCUCAGCAGAAAAAAGGGGUGCGUGUUGUGAAGCAGACUACAAAGCGCCCGCCAAUUCAGCAGGACACGUCUUCUGAUGAUGAUGAGGAUUUGGGGACCAUCCGUGCGUUGGUAGCUAGAGUUGAGGCGCUGGAAAAGGAAUGCAGGCAGCCGCUGGACGCUGAUAAGGGUACAAGUACCGCUCCAGCAGGAUUGGUGUUCUUGAAGCUGCAGUACCCAUUGAAGAGCCCUUAGCAGCUGGGUAGCCAGCUGCUUUGCCUGCGGUUCCAGAUACCAUCUCUUCUCCUGCGGUUCUAGUCAUACCUGCUGUUGGGCCUCUUCAAGCGCCACUGCCAUUUUCGCCACCGGCGGCCACGGCUCUGCCUGCGGGAGCUUUGGGGUUUGUCGCACCCCCAGUGGUUGCCUCUCCGGCUGCUUAUGCAGGUUUGUUGAGCCUCCCAGUUCCUGUGAAGAUCGUUCUGUGUGGCCAUUCAAUCUUGUUUUGGGCGCACCGGCGUGCCUCUUCGUCAAUACCUGGAAUACAGCUGCAGCUCUCGGCCGUAGCUACAGUUCGAUGGGAAGCCCGUAGGGGCAUGCUAUGGGAUGCGCUGUUGCCAUCAGUUUGCCGACUUAUGUCUUCAGCGGAUUGGCCUCAUGUAUUGUUGAUUCAUUUGGGGGGAAAUGACUUGGUGCAGCGUCCAGGGAUGGACCUGCUUCGUAAGGUCACUCAUGAUCUCAUGUGGCUUAUUUGUUCAUUUCCCACCCUCCUAUUGGUGUGGUCGGAUAUGCUAGCUAGGAGGGUGUGGAGGGGUGCUUUUCAUCCUAACAGGAUCGAUAGAUCCCGGAAAUGGGUGAAUAGGAAAGUCAGGGCUCUGGUCUUAUCUCUUGGUGGGGCAUAUAUUCCUCAUGAUAGGAUCAGGUUCUAUGCCCCACAUUUGUUUCGUGAUGAUGGGGUUCAUCUUUCAGAACAAGGGUGUGAUUUCUUUUUAGAGGAUCUGAUGUUGGGAUUAAGGGGUUUGUUAAUUUCUUCAGCUGAUCCCCUCUUGUGGCAUAGAAUUCGGGCAGGUGAGGUAUUAGAGGGUUGAAUUGAGGUGAUUAAGGCAUUCUGAAAAAGGGGCACUUCCUAGGGAACCAUCACGGCUUCAUGUCGGGUGGGGAUCUGGGUAGUGUCCUGGUGGGACCGGCUUGCGCAUCAUUGUGAAUGCCUGUACGGCGGGGCCAUGGUGUGGGGGUUGGAACCACAUAACUGGCUCUAAGAGCAAGGAGGGAGGAAUUCACACAUGUCCUUGUCUCUGGAGUUACAGACUCAGAAGAAUUGAUGUGUUUUGAAGGUGAGGGUGUAAUCCCUCAUAGAUAGGUUUAGCCUCACCUGCCCGAAGUAUUUUGAUAUGAAUAAUUGGCUGUAUUUUAAUU